ACUAGGUAGCACGUCAGACUCAUAAUCUGAAGGUUGUGAGUUCAACCCUCAUACGGGGCAUGGCAGUCUUUUCCCAAACCUCUUCAGUUGAAAUUGGUUUUCACCACUUGUACACAAACACGCGUCUGGCGCAUUGAGUCAAUUCUCCACUUGUUCCCUUCUCCUUCAUCCAUCUUGCCUGAUAUUCGUUACUUGUGCUAUCCAUGCGGCCUCGUUAGCGCAGUAGGUAGCGCGUCAGUCUCAUAAUCUGAAGGUCAUGAGUUCAACCCUCAUACGGGGCAUGGCACUCUUUUCCCAAACCUCUUCAAUGAAAAUGUUUUUCGCCACUUGGACAUGAACAUGCGUCUGACCCAUUGAGUCAAUUCUCCACUUGGCGUUCCCUUCUCCUUCAUCCAUAUUGCCUUGCAUUCGUUACUUGCGUUAGGCAUGCGGCCUCGUUAGCGCAGUAGGUAGCGCGUCAGUCUCAUAAUCUGAACGUCGUGAGUUCAACCCUCAUAUGGGGCAUGGCACUCUUUUCCCAAACCUGUUCA
Molecule: long non-coding RNA, 530 nt
Organism: Hippocampus comes (tiger tail seahorse)
Lineage: Eukaryota; Metazoa; Chordata; Actinopteri; Syngnathiformes; Syngnathidae
Exons: 2
Source: RefSeq, a predicted model, not a curated record